RNAcentral lists this ribosomal RNA (460 nucleotides) under Trichoderma paraviridescens. Its description in RNAcentral is "eukaryotic LSU rRNA". The stretch from base 90 to 243 matches the Rfam family "5.8S ribosomal RNA". The record is from RNAcentral. Lineage: Eukaryota; Fungi; Ascomycota; Sordariomycetes; Hypocreales; Hypocreaceae.
CCCGCCGGAGGGACCAACCAAACUCUUUCUGUAGUCCCCUCGCGGACGUUAUUUCUUACAGCUCUGAGCAAAAAUUCAAAAUGAAUCAAAACUUUCAACAACGGAUCUCUUGGUUCUGGCAUCGAUGAAGAACGCAGCGAAAUGCGAUAAGUAAUGUGAAUUGCAGAAUUCAGUGAAUCAUCGAAUCUUUGAACGCACAUUGCGCCCGCCAGUAUUCUGGCGGGCAUGCCUGUCCGAGCGUCAUUUCAACCCUCGAACCCCUCCGGGGGUCCGGCGUUGGGGAUCGGGAACCCCUAAGACGGGAUCCCGGCCCCGAAAUACAGUGGCGGUCUCGCCGCAGCCUCUCAUGCGCAGUAGUUUGCACAACUCGCACCGGGAGCGCGGCGCGUCCACGUCCGUAAAACACCCAACUUCUGAAAUGUUGACCUCGGAUCAGGUAGGAAUACCCGCUGAAACUUAA